Magnolia sinica is the source of this 639-nucleotide long non-coding RNA. RefSeq lists it as uncharacterized. The transcript has 4 exons. The record is from RefSeq and is a predicted model, not a curated record. Lineage: Eukaryota; Viridiplantae; Streptophyta; Magnoliopsida; Magnoliales; Magnoliaceae.
UGGCUUCUUAUUCAGCAUAACUGGAUCCCAUCCACUCAAGUUUAAAGAGGUUCCUUCCAUUAUCAUAAGUUAUCAUCUACCUCCCUGUUUUGUAGCAUAGUUCCUGGAUCAUGAUGAGCAAAAUAUUAGAGUGCGGAAAUUUAUGCCAUCUUUAGCCAUUACAAAACUAGGAAGCUAUUCCUCAGCAAAGUACUCCAAUAUAUAAAGGAAAGGCUUCUGGAUGCGAAGUAUGCAUGUGGCUUCUUAUUCAACAUAACUGGAUCCCAUCCACUUGAGUUUAUAGAGGACAAGCAUAACCUAAUGGAAGUUGUUCAAAUGUGUCACUGACUAAAGGCACUCCAACUUUCUAUGCAACGUGAUGUGAACUCGUCCUCCACUUAUCUAGAAAAUAUUCUCACAUAUUUGCUCCUUGCACUUUCACAUCAUCCUUCAUGUCCUAAUGUUGAUGAAUGCAAGGAGGUUCAAGCAUUUGAAUCAAUUUACUGGUAUCCUUACUCUGUUGCAUUUGUUGCUAUGUACAAUUUACUUGUCUUUUAAUUGCUCUAAAUGAGGAUUCUACAAGCCAAUAUCCAGUUACAUUUAAAUCUGUGUUUAUAUUUCCCUGUUCUGUGUAUGCAAUUUGGGAAAAUUGUGCAGGCA